This 510-nucleotide ribosomal RNA is filed under the name uncultured bacterium. Its description in RNAcentral is "partial 16S ribosomal RNA". It matches the Rfam family "Bacterial small subunit ribosomal RNA", at positions 28 to 507 of the family's 1533-position model. The record is from RNAcentral.
GACGAACGCUGGCGGCGUGCUUAACACAUGCAAGUCGAACGAAGAGCGAUGGAAGCUUGCUUCUAUCACUCUUAGUGGCGAACGGGUGAGUAACGCGUAAUCAACCUGCCCUUCAGAGGGGGACAACAGUUGGAAACGACUGCUAAUACCGCAUACGAUCUAAUCUCGGCAUCGAGGAUAGAUGAAAGGUGGCCUCUACAUGUAAGCUAUCACUGAAGGAGGGGAUUGCGUCUGAUUAGCUAGUUGGAGGGGUAACGGCCCACCAAGGCGAUGAUCAGUAGCCGGUCUGAGAGGAUGAACGGCCACAUUGGGACUGAGACACGGCCCAGACUCCUACGGGAGGCAGCAGUGGGGAAUCGUCCGCAAUGGACGAAAGUCUGACGGAGCAACGCCGCGUGAGUGAUGACGGCCUUCGGGUUGUAAAGCUCUGUUAAUCGGGACGAAAGGCCUUCUUGCGAAUAGUGAGAAGGAUUGACGGUACCGGAAGAGAAAGCCACGGCUAACUACGUG